Molecule: ribosomal RNA, 465 nt
Filed under: uncultured bacterium
Lineage: Bacteria
Description: partial 16S ribosomal RNA
Rfam family: Bacterial small subunit ribosomal RNA
Source: RNAcentral
CCUACGGGAGGCAGCAGUAGGGAAUCUUCCACAAUGGGCGAAAGCCUGAUGGAGCAACGCCGCGUGGGUGAAGAAGGUCUUCGGAUCGUAAAACCCUGUUGUUAGAGAAGAAAGUGCGUGAGAGUAACUGUUCACGUUUCGACGGUAUCUAACCAGACAGCCACGGCUAACUACGUGCCAGCAGCCGCGGUAAUACGUAGGUGGCAAGCGUUAUCCGGAUUUAUUGGGCGUAAAGGGAACGCAGGCGGUCUUUUAAGUCUGAUGUGAAAGCCUUCGGCUUAACCGGAGUAGUGCAUUGGAAACUGGGAGACUGGAGUGCAGAAGAGGAGAGUGGAACUCCAUGUGUAGCGGUGAAAUGCGUAGAUAUAGGGAAGAACACCAGUGGCGAAAGCGGCUCUCUGGUCUGUAACUGACGCUGAGGUUCGAAAGCGUGGGUAGCAAACAGGAUUAGAUACCCCGGUAGUC